Molecule: ribosomal RNA, 254 nt
Filed under: uncultured bacterium
Lineage: Bacteria
Also listed under: 1 other name
Description: partial 16S ribosomal RNA
Rfam family: Bacterial small subunit ribosomal RNA
Source: RNAcentral
UACGUAGGGAGCAAGCGUUGUCCGGAUUUAUUGGGCGUAAAGGGCUCGUAGGCGGUUCGGUAAGUCGGGUGUGAAACCUCCAGGCUCAACCUGGAGACGCCACCCGAUACUGCUGUGACUUGAAUCUGGUAGGGGAGCACGGAAUUCCUGGUGUAGCGGUGAAAUGCACAGAUAUCAGGAGGAACACCGGUGGCGAAGGCGGUGCUCUGGGCCAGUAUUGACGCUGAGGAGCGAAAGCGUGGGUAGCGAACAGG